Molecule: ribosomal RNA, 253 nt
Filed under: uncultured bacterium
Lineage: Bacteria
Description: partial 16S ribosomal RNA
Rfam family: Bacterial small subunit ribosomal RNA
Source: RNAcentral
UACGUAGGUGGCAAGCGUUGUCCGGAAUUAUUGGGCGUAAAGCGCGCGCAGGCGGUCCUUUAAGUCUGAUGUGAAAGCCCACGGCUCAACCGUGGAGGGUCAUUGGAAACUGGGGGACUUGAGUACAGAAGAGAAGAGUGGAAUUCCACGUGUAGCGGUGAAAUGCGUAGAGAUGUGGAGGAACACCAGUGGCGAAGGCGGCACGCUGGGCCAUAACUGACGCUAAGACUCGAAAGCAUGGGUAGCGAACGGG